AACGAACGCUGGCGGCAUGCCUAAUACAUGCAAGUCGAACGAGACCUUCGGGACUAUUGGCGCACGGGUGCGUAACGCGUGGGAACCUGCCCUUAGGUUCGGAAUAACUCCCCGAAAGGGGUGCUAAUACCGAAUCAUGUCUUCGAACCAAAGAUUUAUCGCCCUUGGAUGGGCCCGCGUUGGAUUAGCUAGUUGGUAGGGUUAAAGCCUACCAAGGCGACGAUCCAUAGCUGGUCUGAGAGGAUGAUCAGCCACACUGGGACUGAGACACGGCCCAGACUCCUACGGGAGGCAGCAGUGGGGAAUAUUGGACAAUGGGCGAAAGCCUGAUCCAGCAAUGCCGCGUGAGUGAUGAAGGCCUUAGGGUUGUAAAGCUCUUUUACCCGGGAUGAUAAUGACAGUACCGGGAGAAUAAGCUCCGGCUAACUCCGUG
Molecule: ribosomal RNA, 433 nt
Filed under: uncultured bacterium
Lineage: Bacteria
Description: partial 16S ribosomal RNA
Rfam family: Bacterial small subunit ribosomal RNA
Source: RNAcentral